Molecule: transfer RNA, 86 nt
Filed under: uncultured Collinsella sp.
Lineage: Bacteria; Bacillati; Actinomycetota; Coriobacteriia; Coriobacteriales; Coriobacteriaceae
Rfam family: tRNA
About the family: Transfer RNA (tRNA) molecules are approximately 80 nucleotides in length. Their secondary structure includes four short double-helical elements and three loops (D, anti-codon, and T loops).
Source: RNAcentral
GAGGGGUGGCAGAGUGGUUGAAUGCGGCGGUCUCGAAAACCGUUUGGCCUGCAUAAGGUCACGAGGGUUCGAAUCCCUCCUCCUCC